RNAcentral lists this ribosomal RNA (677 nucleotides) under Tenerus sp. UPOL001158. RNAcentral's name for it is "eukaryotic LSU rRNA". It matches the Rfam family "Eukaryotic large subunit ribosomal RNA", at positions 653 to 1274 of the family's 3401-position model. The record is from RNAcentral. Lineage: Eukaryota; Metazoa; Arthropoda; Insecta; Coleoptera; Cleridae.
CUUGAAACACGGACCAAGGAGUCUAGCAUGUGCGCGAGUCAUUGGGAAUUACUAAACCUAAAGGCGCAAUGAAAGUGAAGGUCCGCCUCGCGCGGACCAAGGGAAGAUGGGCGCGUCCGGUGAUUACCACGGCCGCCCCGCACUCCCGGGGCGUCUCGUUCUCAUCGCGAGAAGAGGCGCACCAAGAGCGUACACGCUGGGACCCGAAAGAUGGUGAACUAUGCCUGGUCAGGACGAAGUCAGGGGAAACCCUGAUGGAGGUCCGUAGCGAUUCUGACGUGCAAAUCGAUCGUCGGAACUGGGUAUAGGGGCGAAAGACUAAUCGAACCAUCUAGUAGCUGGUUCCCUCCGAAGUUUCCCUCAGGAUAGCUGGCGCUCGUCGCAUACGAGUCUCAUCCGGUAAAGCGAAUGAUUAGAGGCAUUGGGGUCGAAACGGCCUCAACCUAUUCUCAAACUUUAAAUGGGUGAGAUCUCCGGCUUGCUCAAAUACUUUUUGUAUGAAGCCGCGAGAAACGGAUCAGAGUGCCAAGUGGGCCAUUUUUGGUAAGCAGAACUGGCGCUGUGGGAUGAACCAAACGCCGAGUUAAAGCGCCUAAAUCGACGCUUAUGGGAUACCAUGAAAGGCGUUGGUAACUUAAGACAGCAGGACGGUGGCCAUGGAAGUCGGAAUCCGCUAA